GGUCGGAUAGCUUAAUUGAUAGAGCAAGCCGGAAUUAUAAGAUGUAUCUUGGGUGGUUUCGGGUUCGAAUCCCGAUCUGACCU
Molecule: transfer RNA, 83 nt
Filed under: Dreissena polymorpha
Lineage: Eukaryota; Metazoa; Mollusca; Bivalvia; Myida; Dreissenidae
Rfam family: tRNA
About the family: Transfer RNA (tRNA) molecules are approximately 80 nucleotides in length. Their secondary structure includes four short double-helical elements and three loops (D, anti-codon, and T loops).
Source: Rfam by way of RNAcentral